ACCUUCGUGGUGUAGUGGUCAGCACGCUCGACGCGUAACCGAGAGGUCCGUGGUUCGAUUCCCGGCAAAGGCG
RNAcentral lists this transfer RNA (73 nucleotides) under Stegodyphus mimosarum. It matches the Rfam family "tRNA". Rfam says of the family: Transfer RNA (tRNA) molecules are approximately 80 nucleotides in length. Their secondary structure includes four short double-helical elements and three loops (D, anti-codon, and T loops). Further hydrogen bonds mediate the characteristic L-shaped molecular structure. tRNAs have two regions of fundamental functional importance: the anti-codon, which is responsible for specific mRNA codon recognition, and the 3' end, to which the tRNAs corresponding amino acid is attached (by aminoacyl-tRNA synthetases). tRNAs cope with the degeneracy of the genetic code in two manners: having more than one tRNA (with a specific anti-codon) for a particular amino acid; and 'wobble' base-pairing, i.e. permitting non-standard base-pairing at the 3rd anti-codon position. Lineage: Eukaryota; Metazoa; Arthropoda; Arachnida; Araneae; Eresidae. The record is from Rfam by way of RNAcentral.